This 253-nucleotide ribosomal RNA is filed under the name uncultured bacterium. RNAcentral's name for it is "partial 16S ribosomal RNA". It matches the Rfam family "Bacterial small subunit ribosomal RNA", at positions 524 to 776 of the family's 1533-position model. The record is from RNAcentral.
UACGUAGGGGGCAAGCGAUACUCGGAAUCACUAGGCGUAAAGCGCCGGUAGGCGGUUUGGAAAGUCUCUUGUGAAAGCUCCCGGCUUAACUGGGAGAGGUCAAGGGAAACUACUAGGCUAGAGUGCGGUAGAGGUAGCUGGAAUUCCCGGUGUAGCGGUGAAAUGCGUAGAUAUCGGGAGGAAUACCUAUGGCGAAAGCAGGCUACUGGACCGUCACUGACGCUGAGCUGCGAAAGCUAGGGGAGCAAACAGG